UGAGGAAUAUUGGACAAUGGGUUAGCGCCUGAUCCAGCCAUCCCGCGUGAAGGACGACGGCCCUCAUGGGUUGUAAACUGCUUUUGUACAGGGAUAAACCUAUCUACGUGUAGAUAGCUGAAGGUACUGUACGAAUAAGCACCGGCUAACUCCGUG
This 156-nucleotide ribosomal RNA is filed under the name uncultured bacterium. RNAcentral describes it as "partial 16S rRNA". It matches the Rfam family "Bacterial small subunit ribosomal RNA", at positions 355 to 507 of the family's 1533-position model. The record is from RNAcentral.